RNAcentral lists this ribosomal RNA (404 nucleotides) under uncultured Roseburia sp. Its description in RNAcentral is "bacterial SSU rRNA". It matches the Rfam family "Bacterial small subunit ribosomal RNA", at positions 355 to 776 of the family's 1533-position model. Lineage: Bacteria; Bacillati; Bacillota; Clostridia; Lachnospirales; Lachnospiraceae. The record is from RNAcentral.
UGGGGAAUAUUGCACAAUGGGCGAAAGCCUGAUGCAGCGACGCCGCGUGAGCGAAGAAGUAUUUCGGUAUGUAAAGCUCUAUCAGCAGGGAAGAAAAUGACGGUACCUGACUAAGAAGCUCCGGCUAAAUACGUGCCAGCAGCCGCGGUAAUACGUAUGGAGCAAGCGUUAUCCGGAUUUACUGGGUGUAAAGGGAGCGUAGGCGGCAGGGCAAGUCUGAUGUGAAAACCCAGGGCUCAACCUUGGGACUGCAUUGGAAACUGUUCGGCUGGAGUGUCGGAGAGGCAAGCGGAAUUCCUAGUGUAGCGGUGAAAUGCGUAGAUAUUAGGAGGAACACCAGUGGCGAAGGCGGCUUGCUGGACGAUAACUGACGCUGAGGCUCGAAAGCGUGGGGAGCAAACAGG